GGUUCCAUAGUGUAAUGGUUAGCACCUAGGCCUUAUAAUCCUGUAUUCCGGGUUCGAACCCCGGUGGAACCU
Aphanomyces astaci is the source of this 72-nucleotide non-coding RNA. The record is from Rfam. NCBI's taxonomy places the organism in Eukaryota, Oomycota, Saprolegniomycetes, Saprolegniales, Verrucalvaceae.